Molecule: transfer RNA, 75 nt
Filed under: Trichonephila inaurata madagascariensis
Lineage: Eukaryota; Metazoa; Arthropoda; Arachnida; Araneae; Nephilidae
Description: tRNA-Arg
Rfam family: tRNA (bases 6-71)
About the family: Transfer RNA (tRNA) molecules are approximately 80 nucleotides in length.
Source: RNAcentral
GUUCCCCUGUAGCGCAAUGGAUAGCGCGUUAGACUUCUAAUCCAAAGAUAGUGGGUUCGAAUCCCACCUGGAAUG